RNAcentral lists this long non-coding RNA (1516 nucleotides) under Phoenix dactylifera (date palm). Its description in RNAcentral is "long non-coding RNA (PDAC_LNC014494)". Lineage: Eukaryota; Viridiplantae; Streptophyta; Magnoliopsida; Arecales; Arecaceae. The record is from RNAcentral.
ACGCUAGGGGAAAGCGUCGGUAAAGGUUGGCUCACAGCCAACCUUUCCCGACGCUUUGGGUUAGCGUUGGAAAAGCGAAAGAAACAACGACGCUAUAAAGCGUCGUUAUAAGUUUAAGAAACAACGACGCUUAUAAGCGUCGUUAUAAACUUUAAAACCCCAGCACCUCGCUCGAUCGGCCCCCCUCUCCUGAUUUCCUAUCUGCAACGACGCUCUGAAGCGUCGUUAUAAGUUCAAGAAACAACGACGCUUAUAAGCGUCGUUAGAAAACUUAAAACCCCACACCUCGCUCGAUCAGCCCCCUCUCCUCAUUUCCCAUCUGCGAGCCCUAGCCCCUCUCCUCAUUUCCUAUCUGCGAGCGCGCCGACACCCCCGCUGCCGUCGACCUCUCCUUCUGAGGUAAUCCCUAGCUCGAUCGGCCCCCUCUCCUUCUGAGCCCUAAUCUCACCUCCAUCCCUAGCCCUGAUCGGCGAUCGAAGACUCCGCUACUCCGCCGCCGUCGAACUUGCCGUCGUCUUUGGUAAGCCUCCUACUCCUCCUUCUCUUCCUUCUCCUCCUCCUCCUCCUCCUCCUCCUCCUCUUUGUUUUCUUCUUGUUUUUAACUCUCGCCCGGCCCCGUCUCCUCAUCCUCUGCCGGUCGAUGCCCUAGCGCCGACAUCUCACCUCCAUCCCGAGCGAGCCGUAGCUACUCCGCCGCCGUCGACAUCGCCGUCGUCUGAGGUAAGUGAUCCUCAUACUCUCCGUCGAUAUAAAUUGGUCAGUUAGAUCUCCUUCAAUAUUUUCGAAUUUCUUAAUAUCCCCCCUCUCGCUUGGGGCUUCUCUCUAUGUGGUUAUGCUUUUUCUGGGUGUUUGCUUGGGGUAUAGCCGGGUUCACAUUAGAUAUGUACGGUUAAAUCUCUGGUUUGCUUAUGAGGACUAGAAUUUCAGAGCACGGUGACGAAGAUAGCUUAUCAUUCACUGCUGCCAGAUGAUUCUUUUCUGCGUUCUUUGCAGAAUCGACAAGAAAUAAUUGACUCCGGCGUGUCUGGAUGUUUUGAUAUUGUUUGACGUUGUUUUGACUGUUUAAAAUUUUAUAAGAUUUUCUUCGAUGGGGACAACUUUUUUAGGAGUUUGUAUUUUGGUCUGAUCAAUUGUUGACUACAAUUAGUCCAGGAUCUGAUCAGGUAAAAACUAUACUUCCCUUGUUUGAGUACGAAUCUUUCAUUUUGAAGAUUCUGUGGAAAAGGUUGACUUGUUAUUCAUUGAUAAAUUGCUCUUUCCAGUUAACAAGAUAUGAAAAAUUAACAUGCAUUAGAAUCCUGUCAUCACAUAAUCAAACCGGCUAGCAUCUCUUUCAGGGGAACGUCUAUUCCUUAUGUGGCACUAUCUCUAAAUUUUUGUUGAUUUAUAUUUUAUUCCUUCAAUCCAUUAGGGUGGAAUACAUGGUGGUGCCUGCUCACGUCCCCAUAUGGCUAGUUCUUUUUUUCCCCUUAAGUUAUUAUGGCAAAAAUGCUUCCAAAACAAUCAUAUCCAUUCG